This 441-nucleotide ribosomal RNA is filed under the name uncultured bacterium. Its description in RNAcentral is "partial 16S ribosomal RNA". It matches the Rfam family "Bacterial small subunit ribosomal RNA", at positions 338 to 795 of the family's 1533-position model. The record is from RNAcentral.
CCUACGGGUGGCAGCAGUGGGGGAUAUUGCACAAUGGGCGGAACCCUGAUGCAGCGACGCCGCGUGGGUGAAGGAGUGCUUCUGCAUGUAAAGCCCUAUCUGCAGGGAAGAAGCAAGACGGUACCUGAGUAAUAAGCCCCGACUCAACACGGGCCAGCAGCCGCGCUAAUACGUAGGGGGCGGGCGUUUUCCGGAUUCACUGGGGGUAAACGGAGCGUAUACGGCCAGGCCAGCCAGGGGGGAAAGCCCGGGGCCAAACCCCGGGACUGCCCUUGAAACUGGAUGGCUGGAGUGCGGGAGAGGCAGGCGGAAUGCGUGGUGUAGCGGUGAAAUGCGUAGAGAUCAGGAAGAACACCGGCGGCGAAGGCGGCAUGCUGGCGCUCAACUGACGUUGAGGCUCGAAAGCGUGGGGAGCGAACAGGAUUAGAUACCCGUGUAGUC